Molecule: transfer RNA, 68 nt
Filed under: Acipenser sinensis (Chinese sturgeon)
Lineage: Eukaryota; Metazoa; Chordata; Actinopteri; Acipenseriformes; Acipenseridae
Description: tRNA-Phe
Rfam family: tRNA
About the family: Transfer RNA (tRNA) molecules are approximately 80 nucleotides in length. Their secondary structure includes four short double-helical elements and three loops (D, anti-codon, and T loops).
Source: RNAcentral
GCUAGCGUAGCUUAACUAGAGCAUAACACUGAAGAUGUUAAGAUGAGCCUUAGACAGCUCCGCAGGCA